RNAcentral lists this RNase P RNA (351 nucleotides) under Permianibacter aggregans. Its description in RNAcentral is "Bacterial RNase P class A". It matches the Rfam family "Bacterial RNase P class A". From Rfam's summary of the family: Ribonuclease P (RNase P) is a ubiquitous endoribonuclease, found in archaea, bacteria and eukarya as well as chloroplasts and mitochondria. Lineage: Bacteria; Pseudomonadati; Pseudomonadota; Gammaproteobacteria; Pseudomonadales; Pseudomonadaceae. The record is from Rfam by way of RNAcentral.
GGAGUCGGCCAGACAGUCGCUGGCGCGCAAGCGCUGGAGGAAAGUCCGGACUUCACAGGGCAGAGUGCGAGAUAACGUCUCGACGGUGCGAGCCGAUGGAAAGUGCAACAGAAAGCAAACCGCCGAUGUCACCGCAAGGUGGCAGGUAAGGGUGAAACGGUGCGGUAAGAGCGCACCGCGUCGCUGGCAACAGUCGACGGCACGGCAAACCCCACUCGAAGCAAGACCAAAUAGGCACUCAUUGGCGUGGCCCGCGCUGAGUGCGGGUAGGUUGCUUGAGCCGUAAGGUGACUUACGGCCCAGAUGAAUGACUGUCCCCGACAGAAUCCGGCUUAUCGGCCGACUCCGACC